UUUGAUCAUGGCUCAGAAUGAACGCUGGCGGCAUGCCUAACACAUGCAAGUCGAACGAAGGCUUCGGCCUUAGUGGCGCACGGGUGCGUAACGCGUGGGAAUCUGCCCCUUGGUUCGGAAUAACAGUUAGAAACGACUGCUAAUACCGGAUGAUGACGAAAGUCCAAAGAUUUAUCGCCGAGGGAUGAGCCCGCGUAGGAUUAGGUAGUUGGUGAGGUAAAGGCUCACCAAGCCGAUGAUCCUUAGCUGGUCUGAGAGGAUGAUCAGCCACACUGGGACUGAGACACGGCCCAGACUCCUACGGGAGGCAGCAGUGGGGAAUAUUGGACAAUGGGCGAAAGCCUGAUCCAGCAAUGCCGCGUGAGUGAUGAAGGCCUUUGGGUUGUAAAGCUCUUUUACCCGGGAUGAUAAUGACAGUACCGGGAGAAUAAGCCCCGGCUAACUCCGUGCCAGCAGCCGCGGUAAU
Molecule: ribosomal RNA, 466 nt
Filed under: uncultured Sphingomonas sp.
Lineage: Bacteria; Pseudomonadati; Pseudomonadota; Alphaproteobacteria; Sphingomonadales; Sphingomonadaceae
Description: bacterial SSU rRNA
Rfam family: Bacterial small subunit ribosomal RNA
Source: RNAcentral